UGGAGGAGAAAGCUGUGGGCUCAACUCACAAUCUGCCUUCAAAACUUCCGUUCUUGAGUGGUGUAGAGGUAGGCGGAAUUCCCGGUGUAGCGGUGGAAUGCGUAUAUAUUGGGAGGAACACCAGUGGCGAAGGCGGCUUACUGGGCAUUAACUGACGUUGAGGCUCGAAAGCAUGGGUAGCAACCAGGAUUAGAUACCCUGGUAGUCCAUGCCGUAACAGAUGAUUUACUAGGUGUGGGAGGGAUUGACCCCUUCCGUGCCGCAGUUAACACAAUAAGUAAAUCCACCUGGGGAGUACGACCGCAAGGUUGAAACUCAAAGGAAUUGACGGGGGCCCGCACAAGCAGUGGAGUAUGUGGUUUAAUUCGAAGCAACGCGAAAAACCUUACCAGGUCUUGACAUCCGACGCAUAGCUCAGAGAUGAGUGAAGUCCUUCGGGACGUCGAGACAGGUGGUGCAUGGUUGUCGUCAGCUCGUGUCGUGAGAUGUUGGGUUAAGUCCCGCAACGAGCGCAACCCUUAUCGUCAGUUACUACGCAAGAGGACUCUGGCGAGACUGCCGUUGACAAAACGGAGGAAGGUGGGGAUGACGUCAAAUCAUCAUGCCCUUUAUGACCUGGGCUACACACGUACUACAAUGGCGCUCAACAAAGAGAAGCGAAACCGCGAGGUGGAGCAAACCUCAUAAACAGCGUCUCAGUUCAGAUUGCAGGCUGCAACUCGCCUGCAUGAAGUCGGAAUUGCUAGUAAUCGCGGAUCAGCAUGCCGCGGUGAAUACGUUCCCGGGCCUUGCACACACCGCCCGUCA
This 807-nucleotide ribosomal RNA is filed under the name uncultured bacterium. Its description in RNAcentral is "bacterial SSU rRNA". It matches the Rfam family "Bacterial small subunit ribosomal RNA", at positions 589 to 1399 of the family's 1533-position model. The record is from RNAcentral.